UGGGGAAUAUUGGACAAUGGGCGAAAGCCUGAUCCAGCGACGCCGCGUGGGUGAAGAAGGCCUGCGGGUUGUAAAGCCCUUUCGUUGGGGAAGAAAAGUGUCGACCUAACACGUCGGCACCUUGACGUUACCCAAAGAAGAAGCACCGGCUAACUCUGUGCCAGCAGCCGCGGUAAUACAGAGGGUGCGAGCGUUAAUCGGAAUUACUGGGCGUAAAGCGCACGUAGAUGGCUUCGUAAGUCGGAUGUGAAAUCCCCGGGCUCAACCUGGGAACUGCAUUCGAAACUGCGUUGCUCGGGUGUGGAAGAGGGAAGCGGAAUUCCAGGUGUAGCGGUGAAAUGCGUAGAUAUCUGGAGGAACAUCAGUGGCGAAAGCGGCUUCCUGGUCCAACACUGACAUUCAGGUGCGAAAGCGUGGGGAGCAAACA
RNAcentral lists this ribosomal RNA (427 nucleotides) under uncultured bacterium. Its description in RNAcentral is "bacterial SSU rRNA". It matches the Rfam family "Bacterial small subunit ribosomal RNA", at positions 355 to 774 of the family's 1533-position model. The record is from RNAcentral.